Molecule: long non-coding RNA, 2562 nt
Organism: Sorex araneus (European shrew)
Lineage: Eukaryota; Metazoa; Chordata; Mammalia; Eulipotyphla; Soricidae
Exons: 4
Source: RefSeq, a predicted model, not a curated record
CUGGCAUCGCAUGCGUGUGCAUCUUAGAGAGACUUGAGGGAUCUGAGCUUGGGGACGAGACAGUUAAAGCCUCCUUGUGCGAGCGAGUUAUAUCGCACAGCGCUGGUGCCAGGUCAGCAGUCUGGCUGGAAUUCGAACGUGGCUGGUCAUGCCAGGCGAUGCCAAGAACCCCUGGCAGCACUAAAGAGGAAUUCCAAAUGCAGGUUUCAUACUGCAGCCUGGUAAUGCCGUGUUGACUGCCUCACGAAAGGAAACGAACAGCUGCAUUGGUGCUUCCCAGACAAGUCACAGUGAAGCAUGGAACGCUCCCAGCUGGGUGUCCACUGAUGCUGCGACAAAGAGAUACAUCGGGGUUGAGACUCUGCUCAGGCCACAAUUGGCAAUGCCCAGGGGGUACACUUGGCUCUGGACUCAGGAACCAGUCCUGGCGAUGCUCAUGGGACCAUAUGGGAUGCCACGGAAUGAACUCUGGUUGGGCAAGUGCAAGAAUCCUCACCUUUGCCCCAUGACACCCCAUUUCUGCUGGAAAUAAGAGCCAGUCAGCGUGGUUUCUCCCAUAUCUUCCUCGGCUCAGGGUUUGCAGACUACAGUGGCAGGCUCCUGGAUAUCCAUCCCCUGACACCAUAUGCCCUGUGAAAGAACGGCUCUUCUGUUAUGACAAGGCAAGGUUGACUGUAAAUGUGAUUUCUACGAGUUGCUUACGUGAUUUGUGCAGUCCUGCUGGCAGUGAGAAUGCUGAAAGAAAUAGAAAAGCUAGAGUACACUCCCUGAAGCUGCAGGCGAGGCCCAGAAUGCCAUUUCACUGAGCAAUGGUCUAUAUGGUUUAUGAUUAGUUGUUUUGUCUAGUGUGUUGUUUAUAUUUUUCUGCACAGCUUUUGGCAGAGAAUUGCAAGGGUAUUUGCGGAAAUGGAAAUUUCACACUUUUCUUUAUUAAAAAGCCAAUAUUUAAAGACUUCUUUUAAUUAAAGUAACAUAGAAGAAAGCAGAGAGUUCAGGGUUAUGGUACAUGCCUUCAAUGUUGCUGACAUUUGUUCAAUUCCUGGCUCCAGUGGAGAUCCCUAAUAUAUCUAUAGGGUUGGCCCUGACAAUGCUAGACCCAUCUGACACCACAUUUUCAUAGCCUUGCAUUGAAUUGCUGGUCCAGUUGGGUGAGAAUUGCUGGAAGAGACCACUGCUUCUCCUGAUCACUGACUGGGGAGGACAAAAUAAAGUCAAUUUGCAUAAUGACAAACACAUUUUGUGUCCUCACUGAAAGCCAAUCUUAUGCCUAACUUUAUUCUAUGGUAAGUUAACACAUUUAUCAUAGUAAACACAUCAUAUAAAUCACUAAAAUUUUUAAAAGUGUGUUAUUAAUAUAAACCUACCACUAAGCUAAAUAUAAUUAUUGAGUAAUUGAAUUUGAUCCUCUAGGUAUUGAACACUGAUUUUUAUUUUACUUAUAAACUUAAAAAUUAUUAACUUGCAAAUAAAUAGUGGAAUCUAGUGAAGCUACAGACACGGAUCAUUAGGAUUAUGUGAUAUGGGGAUGACAGGUGUGAAAGAGCACUUAGAUGUUCUGUUCAACUUCUCAAUUGAACAGAAGGGCGAACCAUGGCAUUGCAGCUAAUGGAGGACCAAGACAAACUUAGAAAUCAGAUUUCUUGCCACCUAGUCCAGUGCUGUCCUAAUGUCAAUGUGUUACUAAAGAAAAAUGCUGUGAAGUCUGUUCUCUCUGCUUUUAAUAAAGGAUCGUUUUCCUGUGGAGUCUGAAAUGUUUACACGUCUGUGCGUAGGCAUUGAUUGGAAAUGACAUUCCAUUGAAAGUGCCUCUGAGAAUCAUACAUGGAUCUCCAGCAGGGAAGGGUUAAAGUUGCAGUGAUUUUGCAGGCUGGAUCAAAUGUUCUUGAGAGGCCAUUCUUCACAUCUUGUUUCUUUAACACUGGAAUAGGGCAAGUAAUCAAAGGUGACAAGCUUUCUCUUCUCCUCUGGUCCCACGCUUGGUGCAGGGAAGCCCACAUACACAUUGAUCUGUACUGGCAAUUGCUAAAUUAUGAAAGGCAGAGAGUCCGUAACAUGUAAGGCUAUGUCUUAUUAUUGGGAGGAAAGAAUAAAUAUGCCACUUUCAGAGAAUUCAUAUGAAACAUUUUCUGUCCAAACAGGAGAUUGUAGCAUCUUGAAUUUAUACAUAUUUCUGAUUCAGAUUAUUUUUCUGUUUAACCAUUUUUUUCUUUGGACACUCAAUUAUAGCAAAUUCAGAAUAAGAUCAUUUGAUGGUUCAUGGUCUUUUUAGGAUAUUAGGUUAUCAACAGUGUGCUGAGGCUGUGAGAAAUAGAAGGUAUUAUAGUAGGGGCAUAAACUUAAGUUAAAAAGGAGGGCACCACUUAAAUUAAAAAUGACCUAUAUUCCAUUUUAUCUUGAAUUGCAAGUUACUUUUUGGAGUACGUCAACAAUGUUAAAGGGAAUCUAUCAAAAUGUAUGUGUCAAAUUCAUCAUAGAUAUUAUCACUGUCAAAUCUUUCUAACUUCCUUGCAUGAGAGAGGAUGUUUGUCACAAUUUUAAUAAAGGUUAAAUAAAUCUGGGGGA